RNAcentral lists this small RNA (33 nucleotides) under Bombyx mori (domestic silkworm). RNAcentral's name for it is "ovarian small RNA-30728". Lineage: Eukaryota; Metazoa; Arthropoda; Insecta; Lepidoptera; Bombycidae. The record is from RNAcentral.
UGAACCGGUGAAAGGGUGUAUGUGCCACCCAUC